AGUGAACGCUGGCGGUAGGCCUAACACAUGCAAGUCGAACGGCAGCACAGUAAGAGCUUGCUCUUACGGGUGGCGAGUGGCGGACGGGUGAGGAAUACAUCGGAAUCUACUUUUUCGUGGGGGAUAACGUAGGGAAACUUACGCUAAUACCGCAUACGACCUACGGGUGAAAGCAGGGGAUCUUCGGACCUUGCGCGAUUGAAUGAGCCGAUGUCGGAUUAGCUAGUUGGCGGGGUAAAGGCCCACCAAGGCGACGAUCCGUAGCUGGUCUGAGAGGAUGAUCAGCCACACUGGAACUGAGACACGGUCCAGACUCUUACGGGAGGCAGCAGUGGGGAAUAUUGGACAAUGGGCGCAAGCCUGAUCCAGCCAUACCACGUGGGUGAAGAAGGCCUUCGGGUUGUAAAGCCCUUUUGUUGGGAAAGAAAAGCAGCAGGUUAAUACCCCGCUGUUCUGACGGUACCCAAAGAAUAAGCACCGGCUAACUUCGUG
RNAcentral lists this ribosomal RNA (492 nucleotides) under uncultured bacterium. Its description in RNAcentral is "partial 16S ribosomal RNA". It matches the Rfam family "Bacterial small subunit ribosomal RNA", at positions 29 to 507 of the family's 1533-position model. The record is from RNAcentral.